Molecule: ribosomal RNA, 483 nt
Filed under: uncultured bacterium
Lineage: Bacteria
Description: bacterial SSU rRNA
Rfam family: Bacterial small subunit ribosomal RNA
Source: RNAcentral
CUACGUGCCAGCAGCCGCGGUAAUACGGAAGGUCCGGGCGUUAUCCGGAUUUAUUGGGUUUAAGGGGAGCGUAGGCCGGAGAUUAAGUGUGUUGUGAAAUGUAGACGCUCAACGUCUGACUUGCAGCGCAUACUGGUUUCCUUGAGUACGCACAACGUUGGCGGAAUUCGUCGUGUAGCGGUGAAAUGCUUAGAUAUCACGAAGAACUCCGAUCGCGAAGGCAGGUGUCCGGGCUGCAACUGACGCUGAGGCUCGAAAGUGUGGGUAUCAAACAGGAUUAGAUACCCUGGUAGUCCACACAGUAAACGAUGUAUACUCGCGGUUUGCGAUAGAUUGUAAGCCGCCAAGCGAAAGCAUUAAGUAUACCACCUGGGGAGUACGCCGGCAACGGUGAAACUCAAAGGAAUUGACGGGGGCCCGCACAAGCGGAGGAACAUGUGGUUUAAUUCGAUGAUACGCGAGGAACCUUACCCGGGCUUGAAC